This is a long non-coding RNA of Dermacentor silvarum, 272 nucleotides long. RefSeq lists it as uncharacterized. NCBI's taxonomy places the organism in Eukaryota, Metazoa, Arthropoda, Arachnida, Ixodida, Ixodidae. The record is from RefSeq and is a predicted model, not a curated record. The transcript is spliced from 4 exons.
CGGCUGGCGCGGUCAGGUUGUCUCUUGAUCGCCGCACGUAGUCGCAGUCAUCCACAGUCAUCGAAAUCUCAGCGCCAGUGACUGCGGAGAGGAGGGUGAGGCAGCGGGAGCCAGUUCGAAGUCAGAACGCAAGAUGAGCAGUAUAAAUAUGUACACCCUUCUGAUCGCCGCAUUCGUCGCCACUUUCAUCACGGUGGAUUCCUAUGAACUAAUAGCCAAAGAAGUACAUAUUGUCAAGCCCAACUUGCCACCCAGGAAGAAAUUAACCGGGC